This 112-nucleotide ribosomal RNA is filed under the name Caerostris extrusa. The record is from RNAcentral. Lineage: Eukaryota; Metazoa; Arthropoda; Arachnida; Araneae; Araneidae.
AACGGCCAUACCAUGCUGAAUAUACCGGUUCUCGUUAGAUCACCGAAGUUAAGCAUCAUUGGGCGUGGUCAGUACUUGGGUGGGUGACCACCUGGGAACACCGCGUGCCGUU